GUCGAGCUUGGUAACGCGGGCUUGCAACCCAAGUGGGGACGAUAAGGUGGUUGGAUGUUGGACUAUUGUUGAUGGGUUGGGCUCAGUGGGGCUAAUUGCUGGCCUGCCCGUUCCAAGUUGAGUGUUGACCAACGUGGGCCAGGCGAAGGCCUGGGCGCUACUUUGGUACUAAAAGUGUGAAAGGUAAUGCGUCAGGCUGGCUUCACAGAGCAGCGUCACCUUCCGCUCUCAGCCGUUGAAGGAUAACAGGCUGGUGCCCUAAAGGGUCCAACAAAACCCAGAUAACUGGCCCAAUCAAACAACCACUAUU
This is a non-coding RNA of Thalictrum thalictroides, 310 nucleotides long. Lineage: Eukaryota; Viridiplantae; Streptophyta; Magnoliopsida; Ranunculales; Ranunculaceae. The record is from the annotation of a GenBank genome assembly.